Molecule: ribosomal RNA, 2088 nt
Filed under: Escherichia coli
Lineage: Bacteria; Pseudomonadati; Pseudomonadota; Gammaproteobacteria; Enterobacterales; Enterobacteriaceae
Description: partial 23S ribosomal RNA
Rfam family: Bacterial large subunit ribosomal RNA
Source: RNAcentral
ACCGACUAAUGUUGAAAAAUUAGCGGAUGACUUGUGGCUGGGGGUGAAAGGCCAAUCAAACCGGGAGAUAGCUGGUUCUCCCCGAAAGCUAUUUAGGUAGCGCCUCGUGAAUUCAUCUCCGGGGGUAGAGCACUGUUUCGGCAAGGGGGUCAUCCCGACUUACCAACCCGAUGCAAACUGCGAAUACCGGAGAAUGUUAUCACGGGAGACACACGGCGGGUGCUAACGUCCGUCGUGAAGAGGGAAACAACCCAGACCGCCAGCUAAGGUCCCAAAGUCAUGGUUAAGUGGGAAACGAUGUGGGAAGGCCCAGACAGCCAGGAUGUUGGCUUAGAAGCAGCCAUCAUUUAAAGAAAGCGUAAUAGCUCACUGGUCGAGUCGGCCUGCGCGGAAGAUGUAACGGGGCUAAACCAUGCACCGAAGCUGCGGCAGCGACGCUGAUGCGUUGUUGGGUAGGGGAGCGUUCUGUAAGCCUGUGAAGGUGUGCUGUGAGGCAUGCUGGAGGUAUCAGAAGUGCGAAUGCUGACAUAAGUAACGAUAAAGCGGGUGAAAAGCCCGCUCGCCGGAAGACCAAGGGUUCCUGUCCAACGUUAAUCGGGGCAGGGUGAGUCGACCCCUAAGGCGAGGCCGAAAGGCGUAGUCGAUGGGAAACAGGUUAAUAUUCCUGUACUUGGUGUUACUGCGAAGGGGGGACGGAGAAGGCUAUGUUGGCCGGGCGACGGUUGUCCCGGUUUAAGCGUGUAGGCUGGUUUUCCAGGCAAAUCCGGAAAACUAAGGCUGAGGCGUGAUGACGAGGCACUACGGUGCUGAAGCAACAAAUGCCCUGCUUCCAGGAAAAGCCUCUAAGCAUCAGGUAACAUCAAAUCGUACCCCAAACCGACACAGGUGGUCAGGUAGAGAAUACCAAGGCGCUUGAGAGAACUCGGGUGAAGGAACUAGGCAAAAUGGUGCCGUAACUUCGGGAGAAGGCACGCUGAUAUGUAGGUGAAGUCCCUCGCGGAUGGAGCUGAAAUCAGUCGAAGAUACCAGCUGGCUGCAACUGUUUAUUAAAAACACAGCACUGUGCAAACACGAAAGUGGACGUAUACGGUGUGACGCCUGCCCGGUGCCGGAAGGUUAAUUGAUGGGGUCAGCGCAAGCGAAGCUCUUGAUCGAAGCCCCGGUAAACGGCGGCCGUAACUAUAACGGUCCUAAGGUAGCGAAAUUCCUUGUCGGGUAAGUUCCGACCUGCACGAAUGGCGUAAUGAUGGCCAGGCUGUCUCCACCCGAGACUCAGUGAAAUUGAACUCGCUGUGAAGAUGCAGUGUACCCGCGGCAAGACGGAAAGACCCCGUGAACCUUUACUAUAGCUUGACACUGAACAUUGAGCCUUGAUGUGUAGGAUAGGUGGGAGGCUUUGAAGUGUGGACGCCAGUCUGCAUGGAGCCGACCUUGAAAUACCACCCUUUAAUGUUUGAUGUUCUAACGUUGACCCGUAAUCCGGGUUGCGGACAGUGUCUGGUGGGUAGUUUGACUGGGGCGGUCUCCUCCUAAAGAGUAACGGAGGAGCACGAAGGUUGGCUAAUCCUGGUCGGACAUCAGGAGGUUAGUGCAAUGGCAUAAGCCAGCUUGACUGCGAGCGUGACGGCGCGAGCAGGUGCGAAAGCAGGUCAUAGUGAUCCGGUGGUUCUGAAUGGAAGGGCCAUCGCUCAACGGAUAAAAGGUACUCCGGGGAUAACAGGCUGAUACCGCCCAAGAGUUCAUAUCGACGGCGGUGUUUGGCACCUCGAUGUCGGCUCAUCACAUCCUGGGGCUGAAGUAGGUCCCAAGGGUAUGGCUGUUCGCCAUUUAAAGUGGUACGCGAGCUGGGUUUAGAACGUCGUGAGACAGUUCGGUCCCUAUCUGCCGUGGGCGCUGGAGAACUGAGGGGGGCUGCUCCUAGUACGAGAGGACCGGAGUGGACGCAUCACUGGUGUUCGGGUUGUCAUGCCAAUGGCACUGCCCGGUAGCUAAAUGCGGAAGAGAUAAGUGCUGAAAGCAUCUAAGCACGAAACUUGCCCCGAGAUGAGUUCUCCCUGACUCCUUGAGAGUCCUGAAGGAACGUUGAAG